This 492-nucleotide ribosomal RNA is filed under the name uncultured bacterium. RNAcentral describes it as "partial 16S ribosomal RNA". It matches the Rfam family "Bacterial small subunit ribosomal RNA", at positions 29 to 507 of the family's 1533-position model. The record is from RNAcentral.
AGUGAACGCUGGCGGUAGGCCUAACACAUGCAAGUCGAACGGCAGCACAGUAAGAGCUUGCUCUUACGGGUGGCGAGUGGCGGACGGGUGAGGAAUACAUCGGCAUCUACUUUUUCGUGGGGGAUAACGUAGGGAAACUUACGCUAAUACCGCAUACGACCUACGGGUGAAAGCAGGGGAUCUUCGGACCUUGCGCGAUUGAAUGAGCCGAUGUCGGAUUAGCUAGUUGGCGGGGUAAAGGCCCACCAAGGCGACGAUCCGUAGCUGGUCUGAGAGGAUGAUCAGCCACACUGGAACUGAGACACGGUCCAGACUCCUACGGGAGGCAGCAGUGGGGAAUAUUGGACAAUGGGCGCAAGCCUGAUCCAGCCAUACCGCGUGGGUGAAGGAGGCCUUCGGGUUGUAAAGCCCUUUUGUUGGGAAAGAAAAGCAGCAGGUUAAUACCCCGCUGUUCUGACGGUACCCAAAGAAUAAGCACCGGCUAACUUCGUG